UAGCUAGUUGGUGAGGUAAAGGCUUACCAAGGCGACGAUCUGUAGCGGGUCUGAGAGGAUGAUCCGCCACACUGGAACUGAGACACGGUCCAGACUCCUACGGGAGGCAGCAGUGGGGAAUUUUGGACAAUGGGGGCAACCCUGAUCCAGCCAUUCCGCGUGAGUGAAGAAGGCCUUCGGGUUGUAAAGCUCUUUCGGCCGGGAAGAAAUCGCAUGGGCCAAUACCCUGUGUGGAUGACGGUACCGGAAUAAGAAGCACCGGCUAACUACGUGCCAGCAGCCGCGGUAAUACGUAGGGUGCGAGCGUUAAUCGGAAUUACUGGGCGUAAAGCGUGCGCAGGCGGUUUUGUAAGACAGGCGUGAAAUCCCCGGGCUUAACCUGGGAACUGCGUUUGUGACUGCAAGGCUAGAGUACGGCAGAGGGGGGUGGAAUUCCACGUGUAGCAGUGAAAUGCGUAGAGAUGUGGAGGAACACCAAUGCGAAGGCAGCCCCCUGGGUCGAUACUGACGCUCAUGCACGAAAGCGUGGGUAGCAAACAGGAUUAGAUACCCUGGUAGUCCACGCCCUAAACUAUGUCAACUAGGUGUUGGGUGGGUAAAACCAUUUAGUACCGUAGCUAACGCGUGAAGUUGACCGCCUGGGGAGUACGGCCGCAAGGUUAAAACUCAAAGGAAUUGACGGGGACCCGCACAAGCGGUGGAUGAUGUGGAUUAAUUCGAUGCAACGCGAAAAACCUUACCUACCCUUGACAUGCCAGGAACUUGCCAGAGAUGGCUUGGUGCCCGAAAGGGAGCCUGGACACAGGUGCUGCAUGGCUGUCGUCAGCUCGUGUCGUGAGAUGUUGGGUUAAGUCCCGCAACGAGCGCAACCCUUGUCGUUAAUUGCCAUCAUUUGGUUGGGCACUUUAACGAGACUGCCGGUGACAAACCGGAGGAAGGUGGGGAUGACGUCAAGUCCUCAUGGCCCUUAUGGGUAGGGCUUCACACGUCAUACAAUGGUCGGUACAAAGGGUUGCCAAGCCGCGAGGCGGAGCCAAUCCCAGAAAGCCGAUCGUAGUCCGGAUUGCAGGCUGCAACUCGCCUGCAUGAAGUCGGAAUCGCUAGUAAUCGUGGAUCAGCAUGUCACGGUGAAUACGUUCCCGGGUCUUGUACACACCGCCCGUCACACCAUGGGAGCGGGUUCCGCCAGAAGUAGGUAGCCUAACCGCAAGGGGGGCGCUUACCACGGCGGGGUUCGUGACUGGGGUGAAGUCGUAACAAGGUAGCCGUAGGGGAACCUGCGGCUG
RNAcentral lists this ribosomal RNA (1286 nucleotides) under metagenome. RNAcentral's name for it is "bacterial SSU rRNA". It matches the Rfam family "Bacterial small subunit ribosomal RNA", at positions 242 to 1520 of the family's 1533-position model. The record is from RNAcentral.